This 229-nucleotide ribosomal RNA is filed under the name uncultured bacterium. RNAcentral describes it as "partial 16S ribosomal RNA". It matches the Rfam family "Bacterial small subunit ribosomal RNA", at positions 568 to 796 of the family's 1533-position model. The record is from RNAcentral.
AGUGUAGGCGGCUACUUAAGUCGGAUGUGAAAGCCCUGGGCUCAACCUGGGAAUUGCAUUCGAUACUGGGUAGCUAGAGUUUGGUAGAGGUAAGUGGAAUUCCGGGUGUAGCGGUGAAAUGCGUAGAUAUCCGGAGGAACAUCAGUGGCGAAGGCGGCUUACUGGACCAAAACUGACGCUGAGGCUCGAAAGCGUGGGGAGCAAACAGGAUUAGAUACCCUGGUAGUCC